This 1521-nucleotide ribosomal RNA is filed under the name Escherichia coli. Its description in RNAcentral is "bacterial SSU rRNA". It matches the Rfam family "Bacterial small subunit ribosomal RNA". Lineage: Bacteria; Pseudomonadati; Pseudomonadota; Gammaproteobacteria; Enterobacterales; Enterobacteriaceae. The record is from RNAcentral.
GGCUCAGAUUGAACGCUGGCGGCAGGCCUAACACAUGCAAGUCGAACGGUAACAGGAAGCAGCUUGCUGCUUUGCUGACGAGUGGCGGACGGGUGAGUAAUGUCUGGGAAACUGCCUGAUGGAGGGGGAUAACUACUGGAAACGGUAGCUAAUACCGCAUAACGUCGCAAGACCAAAGAGGGGGACCUUCGGGCCUCUUGCCAUCGGAUGUGCCCAGAUGGGAUUAGCUAGUAGGUGGGGUAAAGGCUCACCUAGGCGACGAUCCCUAGCUGGUCUGAGAGGAUGACCAGCCACACUGGAACUGAGACACGGUCCAGACUCCUACGGGAGGCAGCAGUGGGGAAUAUUGCACAAUGGGCGCAAGCCUGAUGCAGCCAUGCCGCGUGUAUGAAGAAGGCCUUCGGGUUGUAAAGUACUUUCAGCGGGGAGGAAGGGAGUAAAGUUAAUACCUUUGCUCAUUGACGUUACCCGCAGAAGAAGCACCGGCUAACUCCGUGCCAGCAGCCGCGGUAAUACGGAGGGUGCAAGCGUUAAUCGGAAUUACUGGGCGUAAAGCGCACGCAGGCGGUUUGUUAAGUCAGAUGUGAAAUCCCCGGGCUCAACCUGGGAACUGCAUCUGAUACUGGCAAGCUUGAGUCUCGUAGAGGGGGGUAGAAUUCCAGGUGUAGCGGUGAAAUGCGUAGAGAUCUGGAGGAAUACCGGUGGCGAAGGCGGCCCCCUGGACGAAGACUGACGCUCAGGUGCGAAAGCGUGGGGAGCAAACAGGAUUAGAUACCCUGGUAGUCCACGCCGUAAACGAUGUCGACUUGGAGGUUGUGCCCUUGAGGCGUGGCUUCCGGAGCUAACGCGUUAAGUCGACCGCCUGGGGAGUACGGCCGCAAGGUUAAAACUCAAAUGAAUUGACGGGGGCCCGCACAAGCGGUGGAGCAUGUGGUUUAAUUCGAUGCAACGCGAAGAACCUUACCUGGUCUUGACAUCCACGGAAGUUUUCAGAGAUGAGAAUGUGCCUUCGGGAACCGUGAGACAGGUGCUGCAUGGCUGUCGUCAGCUCGUGUUGUGAAAUGUUGGGUUAAGUCCCGCAACGAGCGCAACCCUUAUCCUUUGUUGCCAGCGGUCCGGCCGGGAACUCAAAGGAGACUGCCAGUGAUAAACUGGAGGAAGGUGGGGAUGACGUCAAGUCAUCAUGGCCCUUACGACCAGGGCUACACACGUGCUACAAUGGCGCAUACAAAGAGAAGCGACCUCGCGAGAGCAAGCGGACCUCAUAAAGUGCGUCGUAGUCCGGAUUGGAGUCUGCAACUCGACUCCAUGAAGUCGGAAUCGCUAGUAAUCGUGGAUCAGAAUGCCACGGUGAAUACGUUCCCGGGCCUUGUACACACCGCCCGUCACACCAUGGGAGUGGGUUGCAAAAGAAGUAGGUAGCUUAACCUUCGGGAGGGCGCUUACCACUUUGUGAUUCAUGACUGGGGUGAAGUCGUAACAAGGUAACCGUAGGGGAACCUGCGGUUGGAUCACCUCCUU